Molecule: ribosomal RNA, 393 nt
Filed under: uncultured bacterium
Lineage: Bacteria
Description: partial 16S ribosomal RNA
Rfam family: Bacterial small subunit ribosomal RNA
Source: RNAcentral
AUACGGAAGGUCCGGGCGUUAUCCGGAUUUAUUGGGUUUAAAGGGAGCGCAGGCGGAGAUGCAAGCGUGACGUCAAAUUUCGGGGCUCAACCCCGUCUCGCGUCGCGAACUGCGUCCCUUGGUUGCGGGAAGGGGAGGCGGAACUCGUGGUGGAGCGGGGAAAUGCAUAGAUAUCACGAAGAACUCCGAUCGCGAAGGCAGCCUUCCGGCCCGUCAACGACGCUCAUGCUCGAAGGUGCGGGUAUCAAACAGGAUUAGAUACCCUGGUAGUCCGCACAGUAAACGAUGGACACCCGCGGUUUGGCCUGUAUGGCUGAGCCGCCAAGCGAAAGCGUUAAGUGUCCCACCUGGGGAGUACGCCGGCAACGGUGAAACUCAAAGGAAUUGACGGGG